Molecule: ribosomal RNA, 253 nt
Filed under: uncultured bacterium
Lineage: Bacteria
Description: partial 16S ribosomal RNA
Rfam family: Bacterial small subunit ribosomal RNA
Source: RNAcentral
UACGGGGGGAGCGAACGUUGUUCGGAAUUAUUGGGCGUAAAGCGCACGUAGGCGGCAUAGCAAGUCGGAUGUGAAAUCCCUCGGCUCAACCAAGGAAGUGCAUCCGAAACUGCUGUGCUUGAGUACGAAAGAGGAUCGCGGAAUUCCCGGUGUAGAGGUGAAAUUCGUAGAUAUCGGGAGGAACACCAGCGGCGAAGGCGGCGAUCUGGGUCGAUACUGACGCUGAGGUGCGAAAGCGUGGGGAGCGAACAGG